RNAcentral lists this long non-coding RNA (366 nucleotides) under Gossypium raimondii (Peruvian cotton). Its description in RNAcentral is "long non-coding RNA (GRAI_LNC004625)". The record is from RNAcentral. Lineage: Eukaryota; Viridiplantae; Streptophyta; Magnoliopsida; Malvales; Malvaceae.
AUCAAAAGCUCGUUCGGGUUGGAAGCUUGUCGGAGCUAUAUCACACUAUCCAUCGGCUCACUCGGUACUUUUGGUUAGUUUAAGUUUGGUUAUAACGACAUGUAUAGGUUAUUUUGGCUAAUGUUGGCCUAUAUGUUUUGUUGUGAUUAUGGUCACUUAUUUGGCUUGUGUUUGGUAUAUUUUGGACGUGUAUAAGUUGUCUUAAUAUGGUUGAUAUGUGGUAUGAAUUGGGGUUGAAUUAUGAAAAAUGAAAUAGUUGUUGAAUGUGCACAUUAUGUAUGUCAUAUAGUUUGAUGUGAAUUGGUGCUUUGUCGUGGAAGACAUAUGUAUAUUGAUGCUAGUUUAGAAUGGUAUAAUUUGUACCAA